RNAcentral lists this unclassified non-coding RNA (300 nucleotides) under uncultured Agaricales. RNAcentral describes it as "sequence contains 5.8S rRNA gene, ITS2". The stretch from base 1 to 71 matches the Rfam family "5.8S ribosomal RNA", at positions 84 to 154 of the family's 154-position model. The record is from RNAcentral. Lineage: Eukaryota; Fungi; Basidiomycota; Agaricomycetes; Agaricales.
GUGAGUCACCGAAUCUUUGAACGCACCUUGCGCCUCUUGGUAUUCCGAGAGGCAUGCCUGUUUGAGUGUCAUUAAAUUCUCAACUUCAAAAGCUUUGUCUUUUUGAAGCUUGGAUGUGAAGGCUUGCUGGCGUUUUAAAUGUUCAGCUCCUUUGAAAAGUAUUAGUGGACCCGUUUGUGUUCAUCCUUAGUGUGAUAAUUAUCUACGCUAUGGCUUUGAAUGCAUGCUCAUUAGAAUCUUCGAGCUGUUUUACUGCAGUCUUGGUGUGGAGAGUUGCAUGAAUUUGCUCUUUCUGUCUCU